Molecule: ribosomal RNA, 550 nt
Filed under: uncultured bacterium
Lineage: Bacteria
Description: bacterial SSU rRNA
Rfam family: Bacterial small subunit ribosomal RNA
Source: RNAcentral
UGGGGAAUAUUGCGCAAUGGGCGAAAGCCUGACGCAGCAACACCGCGUGAGGGAUGACGGCCUUCGGGUUGUAAACCUCUUUCAGCUCCGACGAAGCGAAAGUGACGGUAGGAGCAGAAGAAGCACCGGCUAACUACGUGCCAGCAGCCGCGGUAAUACGUAGGGUGCAAGCGUUGUCCGGAAUUAUUGGGCGUAAAGAGCUCGUAGGCGGUCCGUUGCGUCUGCCGUGAAAACCCGGAGCUCAACUCCGGGCCUGCGGUGGAUACGGGCGGACUAGAGUCCGGUAGGGGAGACUGGAAUUCCUGGUGUAGCGGUGGAAUGCGCAGAUAUCAGGAGGAACACCGGUGGCGAAGGCGGGUCUCUGGGCCGGAACUGACGCUGAGGAGCGAAAGCGUGGGGUAGCAAAAGCAGGAUUAGAUACCCUGGUAGUCCAUGCCGUAAACGUUGGGCACUAGGUGUGGGUCUCAACCAACGAGAUCCGCGCCGUCGCUAACGCAUUAAGUGCCCCGCCUGGGGAGUACGGUCGCAAGACUAAAACUCAAAUGAAUUG